GGCAGUCCAAAGCCCUACGCGCUGACAGAAAUAACCUCCUUAGCAGAAAUGCACUGGUCUCGUUCCCUGCAGGGCAUCAGAGCCCAGAGGGCACGAUGGAUCACACCUGUAAUCCCAGCAUUUUGGGAGACCAAGGCAGGCAGAUCACGAGGUCAAGAGAUCGAGACCAUCCUGGCCAUCAUGGUGAAACCCUGUCUCUACUAAAAAUACAACAAUUAGCCAGGCCUGGUGACACACGCCUGUAGUCCCAGCUACUCAGGAGGCUGAGGCAGGAGAAUCACUUAAACCUGGGAGGCGGAGGUUACAGUGAGCCGAGAUCGCACCACUGCACUCCAGCCUGGCGACAGAGCGAGACUCCGUCUCAAAAACAAAAAAUACAUACAUAAAUAAAUAAAAUUUCUG
This 402-nucleotide long non-coding RNA is filed under the name Homo sapiens (human). Its description in RNAcentral is "non-protein coding lnc-POLR3G-9:1". The record is from RNAcentral. Lineage: Eukaryota; Metazoa; Chordata; Mammalia; Primates; Hominidae.